This 77-nucleotide transfer RNA is filed under the name Chlorobium limicola. RNAcentral describes it as "tRNA-Val". It matches the Rfam family "tRNA". From Rfam's summary of the family: Transfer RNA (tRNA) molecules are approximately 80 nucleotides in length. Their secondary structure includes four short double-helical elements and three loops (D, anti-codon, and T loops). Further hydrogen bonds mediate the characteristic L-shaped molecular structure. tRNAs have two regions of fundamental functional importance: the anti-codon, which is responsible for specific mRNA codon recognition, and the 3' end, to which the tRNAs corresponding amino acid is attached (by aminoacyl-tRNA synthetases). tRNAs cope with the degeneracy of the genetic code in two manners: having more than one tRNA (with a specific anti-codon) for a particular amino acid; and 'wobble' base-pairing, i.e. permitting non-standard base-pairing at the 3rd anti-codon position. The record is from RNAcentral. RNAcentral also lists the same sequence under 1 other name. Lineage: Bacteria; Pseudomonadati; Chlorobiota; Chlorobiia; Chlorobiales; Chlorobiaceae.
GGGCGAUUAGCUCAGUUGGUUAGAGCGCUACCUUGACACGGUAGAGGUCAGAAGUUCGAAUCUUCUAUCGCCCACCA